AAAAGUGAAAAAGCUGAGCACGCAGCAGCGUCUACCAGCGUGCAGAGAAAGAGUUUUUGAGAGAGCCCAUGAGGAAACUGCGUGAGAGGGGUUAUUAUUGCACGUUAAUAUGGAUAAUAGCAAA
Sander lucioperca (pikeperch) is the source of this 124-nucleotide long non-coding RNA. RefSeq lists it as uncharacterized. The transcript has 4 exons. The record is from RefSeq and is a predicted model, not a curated record. NCBI's taxonomy places the organism in Eukaryota, Metazoa, Chordata, Actinopteri, Perciformes, Percidae.